AGCAGUGAGAUUUUAAUUUUUGAUGGCACAGAUUAUGCUAAUACUGUAUUGUAAAGCAUUAUAACGAAUCAAUGUAUUUUUUUCCUCACAAAUAUUAAAAGCAAAAUGUUCUCAUCUGUAAUCAGAAUGUCUUAUUUGCUAUGGAAUGUUUGCUAUAUAUAUAUAUCUUUGUAAAUCAUAUGUGACAUCUCAUAUUGUCACAAAUGUGAAAGAAAACAAAACAAAACUAAACUAAACUAACAUGGCCAUAAUGUAGGCAGGGACAUGAUUCUAUCAAUUGGCUGUUUAUGGGACGGAGGCAGCUCUGAAUGCAGGCUUGCAACACAUUGAAAGGAUGGGGUGUAAGCAGACUUAAUAAUUGGAGAAGUCUGACAUACAUUAAUUUUUUUACAGAGAAGUAUGUUGUUUCACAGUUAAAUUCAAAUGACAUUUUGAUUGAAAACUAUAUGGUUAAAAAAAAA
Sinocyclocheilus grahami is the source of this 461-nucleotide long non-coding RNA. RefSeq lists it as uncharacterized. The transcript has 2 exons. The record is from RefSeq and is a predicted model, not a curated record. Lineage: Eukaryota; Metazoa; Chordata; Actinopteri; Cypriniformes; Cyprinidae.